CUUCACCGACCCCAACCACAGCGGAUCGUCCUGCGAGCGCUCCUGCCCGUAGACCGCGAGCAGCGCCUGCGCCUC
Molecule: antisense RNA, 75 nt
Filed under: Streptacidiphilus jiangxiensis
Lineage: Bacteria; Bacillati; Actinomycetota; Actinomycetes; Kitasatosporales; Streptomycetaceae
Description: ASpks TB sRNA
Rfam family: ASpks TB sRNA
Source: Rfam by way of RNAcentral